UGCGUAGGUGGCGCCAUAAGUCAGGUGUGAAAUCUCGGGGCUUAACUCCGAAACUGCAUUUGAUACUGUGGUGCUUGAGGACUGGAGAGGAGACUGGAAUUUACGGUGUAGCAGUGAAAUGCGUAGAGAUCGUAAGGAAGACCAGUGGCGAAGGCGGGUCUCUGGACAGUUCCUGACACUGAGGCAGGCCAGGGAGCGAAACG
Molecule: ribosomal RNA, 203 nt
Filed under: uncultured bacterium
Lineage: Bacteria
Description: partial 16S ribosomal RNA
Rfam family: Bacterial small subunit ribosomal RNA
Source: RNAcentral